This 440-nucleotide ribosomal RNA is filed under the name uncultured bacterium. RNAcentral describes it as "partial 16S ribosomal RNA". It matches the Rfam family "Bacterial small subunit ribosomal RNA", at positions 339 to 795 of the family's 1533-position model. The record is from RNAcentral.
CUACGGGAUGCUCCAGUGAGGAAUAUUGCACAAUGGGGGGGAACCCUGAUGCAGCAACGCCGCGUGGAGGAUGACGCAUUUCGGUGUGUAAACUCCUUUUAUAUGUCAAGAAAAUGACGGUAGCAUAUGAAUAAGCACCGGCUAACUCCGUGCCAGCAGCCGCGGUAAUACGGAGGGUGCAAGCGUUACUCGGAAUCACUGGGCGUAAAGGACGCGUAGGCGGGUUGGAAAGUCAGGUGUGAAAUCCAACAGCUUAACUGUAGAACUGCACUUGAAACUUCUAAUCUAGAGUAUGGGAGGGGGAGAUGGAAUUAGUGGUGUAGGGGUAAAAUCCGUAGAUAUCACUAGGAAUACCUAAAGCGAAGGCGAUCUCCUGGAACAUUACUGACGCUAAGGCGUGAAAGCGUGGGGAGCAAACAGGAUUAGAUACCCGGGUAGUC